RNAcentral lists this ribosomal RNA (722 nucleotides) under uncultured eukaryote. RNAcentral's name for it is "SSU rRNA". It matches the Rfam family "Eukaryotic small subunit ribosomal RNA", at positions 672 to 1426 of the family's 1831-position model. The record is from RNAcentral.
GGUAUCGCCGUUAGUCAUGUGCAAAUCUGGAUAGCUGUUUUAGCCGUCUUUAUUGACUGGUUUAUAAGAGUUAUCAGAUAUCACUUUGAUUAAAUUAGAGUGCUUAAAGCAAGUGUGUUACUUGGAUAUAAAUGCAUGGAAUGAUGGAAUAUGUUGUUAUUCUAUUUGUUGGUUUUUGAAUGAUAAAAUGAUUGAAAGGAACUGUUGGGGGCAUUCGUAUUGUUGUGAGAGAGGUGAAAUUCUUAGACCACAGCAAGACGAACUACUGCGAAAGCAUUUGCCAAGAAUGUUUUCAUUGAUCAAGAACGAAAGUUAGAGGUUCGAAGGCGAUCAGAUACCGCCCUAGUUCUAACCAUAAACUAUGCCAACUAGCAAUUUGCUUUGUAUUUUUUAUGACUAAGUGAGAGGCCACGGGAAACCUAAGUAGGGUUAUGGGGGAAGUAUGGUUGCAAAGCUGAAACUUAAAGGAAUUGACGGAAGGGCACCACCAGGAGUGGAGCCUGCGGCUUAAUUUGACUCAACACGGGAAAACUUACCUGGUCCUGACACUAGAAGGAUUGACAGAUUGAUAGCUCUUUCUUGAUUUGGUGGAUGGUGGUGCAUGGCCGUUCUUAGUUGGUGGAGUGAUUUGUCUGGUUAAUUCCGAUAACGAACGAGACUCUAGCCUAUUAAAUAAUACACGGAAUUUUAUCUUCCGCGGUAUUUCUUAGUGGGAUCAAGCG